RNAcentral lists this transfer RNA (75 nucleotides) under Candidatus Terrybacteria bacterium RIFCSPHIGHO2_01_FULL_43_35. Its description in RNAcentral is "tRNA-Thr". It matches the Rfam family "tRNA". From Rfam's summary of the family: Transfer RNA (tRNA) molecules are approximately 80 nucleotides in length. Their secondary structure includes four short double-helical elements and three loops (D, anti-codon, and T loops). Further hydrogen bonds mediate the characteristic L-shaped molecular structure. tRNAs have two regions of fundamental functional importance: the anti-codon, which is responsible for specific mRNA codon recognition, and the 3' end, to which the tRNAs corresponding amino acid is attached (by aminoacyl-tRNA synthetases). tRNAs cope with the degeneracy of the genetic code in two manners: having more than one tRNA (with a specific anti-codon) for a particular amino acid; and 'wobble' base-pairing, i.e. permitting non-standard base-pairing at the 3rd anti-codon position. RNAcentral also lists the same sequence under 2 other names. Lineage: Bacteria; Candidatus Terryibacteriota. The record is from RNAcentral.
GCCGAUGUAGCUCAGUGGUAGAGCAACUCCAUGGUAAGGAGUAGGUCGUCAGUUCAAUCCUGACCAUCGGCUCAA